Molecule: long non-coding RNA, 539 nt
Filed under: Homo sapiens (human)
Lineage: Eukaryota; Metazoa; Chordata; Mammalia; Primates; Hominidae
Description: HSALNT0326096
Source: RNAcentral
UGCACGGUGGUUUUAUGGGCCGAAUGCUCACUAAACUGACUUAUUCUUCCCGGUAACCUGCAUACAGACCUCCCAGGCCCUGGCGUGAAGGUGGCACUGUGACUAGCUCUUGCCGAUGGAAUGGGAGGAGUCAGUUAGAAAUUUUCAUAUGGUCAAAAUACCCAUGGAAUAUAUGAGUGGCAGCAGUAAACAAUCCUUGAAGUUCUUGCUUGUUUAACUUGACUGUUGGUGAUGCCCAAUGAGGCCCUGUCUGCUCCAAGCAAAUUACAUAAAAAAGAUGUGAAUAAAAACUCAUCAAAUACUAACAGAGACUGUGUCUAAGAUGCCAAUUGAAGACUGGAACAGCCAUAUGAGUGUGGGGUAUUCCUGGAAACCUGUUCUAGUAGGCACUGGAGAAGACACAGGAACCUCUCAAUACAGAAUAGACACACUUUGCACUCAGUAAUAAUGCACUAAUUGACGAAUAUAUUGACGGAGUGUUGGUUUGCUUCACAAUCUGCUGGUAAACAUAUUCAUUUUUGGGUGAAUUUCAGGCCUUA